Molecule: ribosomal RNA, 394 nt
Filed under: uncultured bacterium
Lineage: Bacteria
Description: partial 16S ribosomal RNA
Rfam family: Bacterial small subunit ribosomal RNA
Source: RNAcentral
CCUACGGGUGGCAGCAGUGAGGAAUAUUGGUCAAUGGGCGAGAGCCUGAACCAGCCAAGUCGCGUGAAGGAUGACGGCCCUACGGGUUGUAAACUUCUUUUGUCAGGGAGUAAUUGUGUCCACGCGUGGGCUUAGCGAGAGUACCUGAAGAAAAAGCAUCGGCUAACUCCGUGCCAGCAGCCGCGGUAAUACGGAGGAUGCGAGCGUUAUCCGGAUUUAUUGGGUUUAAAGGGUGCGUAGGCGGAAUAUCAAGUCAGCGGUAAAAAUUCGGGGCUAAACCCCGUCGUGCCGUUGAUACUGGUGUUCUUGAGUAGGCGAGAGGUAUGCGGAAUGCGUGGUGUAGCGGUGAAAUGCGUAGAUAUCACGCAGAACUCCGAUUGCGAAGGCAGCCUAC